GUCCGUGAACAUUCUCCGCAGAACUGCGCAGGAUGUCCACGGAUCAGAGAAGCAGAGAAGUCAAGGUGAAGGACAUCGGAAAGCUGUUGCAAUCAG
This 96-nucleotide non-coding RNA is filed under the name Symbiodinium sp. CCMP2430. The record is from RNAcentral. Lineage: Eukaryota; Dinophyceae; Suessiales; Symbiodiniaceae.